Molecule: ribosomal RNA, 589 nt
Filed under: uncultured bacterium
Lineage: Bacteria
Description: bacterial SSU rRNA
Rfam family: Bacterial small subunit ribosomal RNA
Source: RNAcentral
CCUACGGGAGGCAGCAGUAGGGAAUCUUCCGCAAUGGACGAAAGUCUGACGGAGCAACGCCGCGUGAGUGGUGAAGGCUUUCGGGUCGUAAAACUCUGUUGUUAGGGAAGAACAAGUGCUAGUUGAAUAAGCUGGCACCUUGACGGUACCUAACCAGAAAGCCACGGCUAACUACGUGCCAGCAGCCGCGGUAAUACGUAGGUGGCAAGCGUUAUCCGGAAUUAUUGGGCGUAAAGCGCGCGCAGGUGGUUUCUUAAGUCUGAUGUGAAAGCCCACGGCUCAACCGUGGAGGGUCAUUGGAAACUGGGAGACUUGAGUGCAGAAGAGGAAAGUGGAAUUCCAUGUGUAGCGGUGAAAUGCGUAGAGAUAUGGAGGAACACCAGUGGCGAAGGCGACUUUCUGGUCUGUAACUGACACUGAGGCGCGAAAGCGUGGGGAGCAAACAGGAUUAGAUACCCUGGUAGUCCACGCCGUAAACGAUGAGUGCUAAGUGUUAGAGGGUUUCCGCCCUUUAGUGCUGAAGUUAACGCAUUAAGCACUCCGCCUGGGGAGUACGGCCGCAAGAUUAAAACUCAAAUGAAUUGACGGA